RNAcentral lists this transfer RNA (55 nucleotides) under Sarmentypnum exannulatum. RNAcentral describes it as "partial tRNA-Phe". The stretch from base 11 to 55 matches the Rfam family "tRNA", at positions 1 to 44 of the family's 71-position model. Rfam says of the family: Transfer RNA (tRNA) molecules are approximately 80 nucleotides in length. Their secondary structure includes four short double-helical elements and three loops (D, anti-codon, and T loops). The record is from RNAcentral. Lineage: Eukaryota; Viridiplantae; Streptophyta; Bryopsida; Hypnales; Amblystegiaceae.
AACCAAAAAAGCCGGAAUAGCUCAGUUGGUAGAGCAGAGGACUGAAAAUCCUCGU